Ornithodoros turicata is the source of this 238-nucleotide long non-coding RNA. RefSeq lists it as uncharacterized. Lineage: Eukaryota; Metazoa; Arthropoda; Arachnida; Ixodida; Argasidae. The transcript is spliced from 3 exons. The record is from RefSeq and is a predicted model, not a curated record.
CAGCGUUGUUGCCGAGACUUCGCUCAAGAGACGUGUCUUGGUUCAGGGAUUUCAUUCGAAUGCCGCCACGGACAUUCGAUACUCUUCUUGGGCUGGUGCAAACGACAAUCACGAGGGCCGACACAUCGUUUCGAAAAGCUAUCCCCGCGAGUGACCGCUUGGCGCUGACACUUAGGUUCCUAGCGGAAGGCAGUUCCGUGCGAGGCACGUCCUUCAACUUUUUGGUGGGCAGAUCCAC